Molecule: long non-coding RNA, 392 nt
Filed under: Rhinopithecus bieti (black snub-nosed monkey)
Lineage: Eukaryota; Metazoa; Chordata; Mammalia; Primates; Cercopithecidae
Description: lncRNA (ENSRBIG00000045788.1)
Source: RNAcentral
AUUUACUGAGCGCCUUUCGGUGCCAGGCUCCAGGCUGGGGAGUCAGAAGUAGGAUGGAUGGCGAGGCAGGGAGAAAGCCAGCUGAGUCCUGCCCUCCCACGGGUGGCCGUGGGGACAGAUGAGCAAAAGGCAGAAAACCAAGGUGACUCUGGAGAGACCACGGUUGAAGACAAGACCACAGUGGAGAGAAGAAACCUGAGAUUCCAAGAGAAACUGAUUUUGUGGCUCUGAAACCUGGCUCUUCCCUCUGCACCUGCUGACCAAGAUCUCAACUUCUGGAAGAGGACACAUUAAGGACUUCAGAUGUACCUCACGAUCUGAACAAUUAUAUUUUUAUUUCAAAAUAAUGUUAUCACAACCCAAAGAGUGAAAUUAACAAUAUAUAAUAAAUU